GUCCUGGGAUAGUCCUGGGACUAGGUAGAGCAUGAGACUCUUAACCUCAAGGUUGUGGGUUCGAAUCCCACCUUGGGCA
Podarcis lilfordi (Lilford's wall lizard) is the source of this 79-nucleotide non-coding RNA. The record is from the annotation of a GenBank genome assembly. Lineage: Eukaryota; Metazoa; Chordata; Lepidosauria; Squamata; Lacertidae.